CGCGUAGGUGGUUUGUUAAGUUGGAUGUGAAAGCCCCGGGCUCAACCUGGGAACUGCGUCCAAAACUGGCAAGCUAGAGUACGGUAGAGGGUGGUGGAAUUUCCUGUGUAGCGGUGAAAUGCGUAGAUAUAGGAAGGAACACCAGUGGCGAAGGCGACCACCUGGACUGAUACUGACACUGAGGUGCGAAAGCGUGGGGAGCAAACA
Molecule: ribosomal RNA, 207 nt
Filed under: uncultured bacterium
Lineage: Bacteria
Description: partial 16S ribosomal RNA
Rfam family: Bacterial small subunit ribosomal RNA
Source: RNAcentral